Molecule: ribosomal RNA, 253 nt
Filed under: uncultured bacterium
Lineage: Bacteria
Description: partial 16S ribosomal RNA
Rfam family: Bacterial small subunit ribosomal RNA
Source: RNAcentral
GACAGAGGAGCCAAGCGUUGUCCGGACUGACUGGGCGUAAAGCGCCUGCAGGCGGUCGUGCGCGUGGGGUGUGAAAGCGCUCGGCUUAACUGAGCGAGGCCAUCCCAUACGGCGCGACUCGAGCCGUCCAGAGGCCGGUGGAAUUGCCGGUGUAGUGGUGAAAUGCGUAGAGAUCGGCAGGAACACCAGUGGCGAAGGCGACUACCUGGCCUGUUCUUGACGCUGAGGCGCGAAAGCUAGGGGAGCAAACGGG